Molecule: ribosomal RNA, 253 nt
Filed under: uncultured bacterium
Lineage: Bacteria
Description: partial 16S ribosomal RNA
Rfam family: Bacterial small subunit ribosomal RNA
Source: RNAcentral
UACAGAGGUCUCAAGCGUUGUUCGGAUUCAUUGGGCGUAAAGGGUGCGUAGGUGGCGCCGUAAGUCCGGUGUGAAACCUUGGGGCUCAACCCCAAGCCUGCACUGGAUACUGUCGAGCUCGAGUCCGGGAGGGGAGAGCGGAAUUCCUAGUGUAGCGGUGAAAUGCGCAGAUAUUAGGAAGAACACCCGUGGCGAAGGCGGCUCUCUGGGACGGUACUGACGCUGAGACGCGAAAGCGUGGGGAGCGAACAGG